UUAAAGUAAAUUUUCUUUUGGACUUGAAUUUGUGGUCCCGAAACCACUGUUCUGAUUUCAUUGAAAACGAGCUAUUACAUAUGGAAACUACCAAGCUAGAGUACAAUAGGGACAAAGGGAAUUUACGGUGAAGCGAUGAAAUGUGUAGGGAUCGAUAAUAACACCAAUGACGAAAGCAUUUUGCUGGGCCGACAUUAACACUGAAAGACAAAAGUUAGGGAGUGAAUGAGAUUAGAUACCCCAAUAGUCUUAGCUGUAAAUGAUGGAUACUAAGCGCUAUGCGUAUUGACUCGUGAAAUGCUGUAGCUAACGCGUUAAGUAUCCUAACUGGGGAGUACGUUCGCAAGAAUGAAACUCAAAGGAAUUGACAGGGGCCUGCACAAGCGGUGGAGCAUGUAGUUUAAUUCGAUUCAAAUCGAAGAACCUUACCAGGGCUUGACAUGCCACGAAUCCUCUUGAAAGAGAGGGGUGCCUUAAGGAAUACAGACACAGGUGGUGCAUUGUUGUCGCCAGCUAGUGCCGUAAAGUGUUGGGUUAAGUCCCACAAUCCUCGUGUUUAGUUUCCACCGUAAGUUUGGAACCCUGAGAAAACUGUCAGUGAUAAAUCGGAGGAAGGUGAGGAUGACGUCAAGCUAGCAUGCCCCUUAUGCCUUAGGUGACACACGUGCUACAAUGACGGGACAAAGGGUCGCAAUCCUGCAAGGAUGAGCUAACUCCAAAAACCCGUUCGCAAUUUGGAUUGCAGGCUACAACUCACCUGCAUGAAGCUGGAACCGCUAGUAAUCGUCUGUCAGCCAUACGACAGUGAAUUAGUUCCUGGGGCUUGUACACACCACCUGUCACACUAUGGGAACUAGUCAUGCCCAAAGUCGUUACCUUAACCAUAAGGAGAAGGAUGCCGAAGGUAAGGCUAAUGACUGGAGUGAAAUCGUAACAAAGUACCCUUAUUAUAUUAUAU
RNAcentral lists this non-coding RNA (958 nucleotides) under Gossypium hirsutum (cotton). RNAcentral describes it as "Bacterial small subunit ribosomal RNA". It matches the Rfam family "Bacterial small subunit ribosomal RNA", at positions 595 to 1515 of the family's 1533-position model. The record is from Rfam by way of RNAcentral. Lineage: Eukaryota; Viridiplantae; Streptophyta; Magnoliopsida; Malvales; Malvaceae.